CAUAGCGACUAUCGUGGCAUAUCAAUAAGCGGAGGAAAAGAAACUAACAAGGAUUCCCCUAGUAACGGCGAGUGAAGCGGGAAGAGCUCAAAUUUGAAAUCUUAAAGGGUUUCCCUUUACGAAUUGUAGUUUAAAGAAGUGUUUUCUGUUGGAGUUUCGGUAAAAGUUCUUUGGAAUAGGACAUCAUAGAGGGUGAGAAUCCCGUAUUUGACCGUUACUUUCCUAGCUGUGUGAUACACUUUCAAAGAGUCGGAUUGUUUGGGAAUGCAGUCCAAAAUGGGUGGUAAAUUUCAUCUAAAGCUAAAUAUUGGCGAGAGACCGAUAGCGAACAAGUACCGUGAGGGAAAGAUGAAAAGAACUUUGAAAAGAGAGUUAAACAGUACGUGAAAUUGUCAAAAGGGAAGCGUUUGACACCAGUGUUGUUUAGUUGAAAAUCAAUUCAAUAAUUUUUGAUUUUGAGUAGUAUUGACUUCAUCAGCUUGCUGCUUUCUUUUCGGAAAUUAUUGAAUGCACUUUUCAGUUAACAAGUCAACAUCAAUUUCUUUUGUUGUAAAAGGGUAAGAGGAAGGUGGCUUACGCUUCGGCGUAAGUGUUUAUAGCCUUUUACCUCUGCAAUCGGAGAGAUUGAGGACAGCAGCGUAGACUCCUUCGGGGUUAGAUACACUUGUGCUAAGCUAUAGCCUUGUAUAGACAACUUGUUGACUAUGCUCAGGUCAUGUAGCUUACUCGCAUUGUGCUAUUUUACCUACGCUUAGGAUGUUGACGAGACUGUCGAUCUC
Molecule: ribosomal RNA, 779 nt
Filed under: uncultured Neocallimastigales
Lineage: Eukaryota; Fungi; Neocallimastigomycota; Neocallimastigomycetes; Neocallimastigales
Description: partial large subunit ribosomal RNA
Rfam family: Eukaryotic large subunit ribosomal RNA
Source: RNAcentral